Molecule: long non-coding RNA, 1005 nt
Organism: Acanthaster planci (crown-of-thorns starfish)
Lineage: Eukaryota; Metazoa; Echinodermata; Asteroidea; Valvatida; Acanthasteridae
Source: RefSeq, a predicted model, not a curated record
CCCACUGUUAUCUCGAUGAAGGCGGUUAUUCAUGUCUUUCGCCACAGCUUCGACACAGAGAGGAAGUGUUCUGGAUGACCAAGUACUGGUUGAACCAUCUUGGACAGGGAAGCUGGCUAAUGAAGACCCAGUUCAACUUUGAUAUCUCGGAUACAGAGGAGGCCACUGCAGCCUAUGCUGUGGGAGUUGAACAAAAGUAACAGGUGGUUACAGUGCAAUCUAGCAAGCGGUUUACAGAAUCACACUCAGAGACUGAAAUGAGACAGCAGGGGAAAAAGAGUUUUGUUGAUGCUACCAUGAGGAAAAUCCACUCACGUCACCAAACUUUUCCGGGAUUGGCAGAAACAGGGCAACAAGACAGCUACAGACCCAUGCUACAAUAUGAGUCCCAUUGGAGUUCCGUUUGAGGAAAUGACAGCUGAUGAACUGAACUAUUGCAUUUUAAGUUUUGUUGUUGAAAUAAGCCGGGAAAAUGUUGACCAUUAUCCUGGGGAGACUCUACGAGGAAUGGUUCUCAUGCUCGAAAUAUAUUUGGAGACUCGGGGGAUGUAUUAAAAGUUUAUGACUUGUCUUUAUUUAAUUGAUAAUGGACAGCAAUUGUGUUUAAUAUCAUUGUUUCCGGAAAUGGCGAGUUUUUGUGUUGGUAAUGAAGAGUUAUUAUAUUAGUGAUGAUUAGUUAUUGUAUUGGUAAUGAUGAGUUUUUGUCUAACAAGCCUUUACCGGUCAGUAUUGCCCUACAGGGACAACAGGAAUAUACCCCAUGCCUGGAUUUUACUACAAAUUAAUGUACAAAGAUUCAACGUGAAAUGAACAACGCUUGUUCUAUUGACCAUUCACAUCAACCCUUCUUGUUGAAGUCCAACAGGUAAUAAAUAUUGAUAAUUUCACCAUAAAGUCGACCAGUCCUUUCGAACUUUAAACAUAGUUUAAUGGAUAACUACGGGAAGUAUCCGGUUCGUCGGUGACUUCGUCGUACACGCACACACCACUGACCGCAGGCUUCCA